This 621-nucleotide long non-coding RNA is filed under the name Malus domestica (apple). RNAcentral describes it as "long non-coding RNA (MDOM_LNC000596)". Lineage: Eukaryota; Viridiplantae; Streptophyta; Magnoliopsida; Rosales; Rosaceae. The record is from RNAcentral.
UGCACACGUAUUUGUCCUCGCUUCAGGUUUUGGAUACGUACACCUCCAUUUCAUUGUACCUCAUAAUUGUGAGGCAUCGACAUGACAUGUUCACUUGUAUAGAUAUUGACGCGUUGAAUCAAAUUCGUACUGCCAGGAAUAAAAAUCCAUCAUUGUAACCCAAUCUAUGUCAUCCCUGUUGGAAAUGUGCCCCAAAGCCAAUCGUAUGAUGAUACUUUAUGGACAUUUCACAUGUUCAACUAAUCUGGUUUAAUAUAAAGGGCAAAGAUUAUUAUUUAAAGUCGUCUCAUAUCAAUGUUAUAUACUUAAACGAUAAGUCCAUGAAAUAUGUAAUUGGGAGAAUGUGACCUAAAGAAGUUAAAUUCAUGAGACCAUUUUCUUUCGUAAACAUAUCCUAAACAUUCCUAAUCAUAGGAUUGCGCAUUGACAAUCUGUUAAGAUCAAUACGUGCUAUGUCUUCUCUUAAAGAGAGUGACUGGCCUCGAGUCAUUGGUGUGACUGACACUAAGACAAGCAUGUAGGUGCUCAAUAGAGAAUGAGUCCACUGAACGCGAUCAACAACGAGUUCUCAUACUUAUGUCACAUGAAAACUCAUGGUUGGGAUAAUGCAAAGUAGUCCUU